GACGAACGCUGGCGGCGUGCUUAACACAUGCAAGUCGAACGGAAAGGCCCCUUUGGGGGUCCUCGAGUGGCGAACGGGUGCGUAACACGUGAGUAACCUGCCCUUGACUUCGGGAUAACUUCAGGAAACUGGGGCUAAUACCGGAUAGGAAUCCUUGCUGCAUGGUGGGGGUUGGAAAGCUUCGGCGGUUUUGGAUGGACUCGCGGCUUAUCAGCUUGUUGGUGGGGUAGUGGCUUACCAAGGCUUUGACGGGUAGCCGGCCUGAGAGGGCGACCGGCCACAUUGGGACUGAGAUACGGCCCAGACUCCUACGGGAGGCAGCAGUGGGGAAGAUUGCACAAUGGGCGGAAGCCUGAUGAAGCAACGCCGCGUGCGGGAUGACGGCCUUCGGGUUGUAAACCGCUUUCAGCAGGGGCGAAGCUUGUGGUGACGGUACCUGCAGAAGAAGCACCGGCUAACUACGUG
This 465-nucleotide ribosomal RNA is filed under the name uncultured bacterium. RNAcentral's name for it is "partial 16S ribosomal RNA". It matches the Rfam family "Bacterial small subunit ribosomal RNA", at positions 28 to 507 of the family's 1533-position model. The record is from RNAcentral.